GCUGCGAGCGUGAGCUGCGCGCCGAGAGCGGAAGAGGAGACGCAGUUUGGCGGCUGUGGGGAUUUGCCGGAAGGUUAAUAAUGUCCAUGGGCACAUCGGCCUCCUCCUUUCUUAUUCUCUCCCAAGUGUAAUUCCAGGACGCCCCCUGAGCGCAGAUUCAUCCAGGCAUUUGGCCUAGAGGCCCGCGGAGGAGAAAUAAAGUACAGGCCUGGUAGGACCUUUGAGAACCUGGGCUUCAGCUACAAAACCAGAGCCCCAGUCCUUCAUCUGCUGUCUCCUCAAGCUCUUUUCAGUGUAUUGUGGAGUUCAUUACCACUCUAAGCUCGCACGGAAGUGUACACCAGCUUCGUGAUCUUAAAAGCAAAACAAAAUCAAAUGGACUAGGAAUUAACUUGAAGCAGAGUUGUGACACUUAAGUGGUUUCUUGCCAUCAGUUUCCACGCACUGCUUUAAGAUGCAAUUUUACAAGGUACCACAUGAUGGAAGUCAGUCCAAUCUUUCCUAUCCUGUUUCAUCCACCACCACAAAAUACCUAAGUGACAGCUAUGGGACUAUCUACAGGCAAUACAUACAAGCUGUUGACAAGUUUUUGCAUGGAAAAUGAAGAAGCUGAGACCAUUCACUGCUGUUUCUAAUAGACUUCUCAGAAAGAAUAAGAGAAUAGUAAUCAAAUUGUGGUCAAAGCCAUCUAACAGAGGAUAACAGACCCAGGAAUCAGUUAAAUUCAAGGACUUGAAACAGUUUGCAAAAGCUGCAGCAGGGCAUUUUCCUUUGUGAGGGAAAGCUCCAGGAUCAGUUCUAAAAGACAAAAGAAUAUUAAUACUAAUGUCCCUUUAUCCCCCAGUGCCUUUCCAAGUGCUUAGGUCUCAGUCUCUCUCUCUCUGUCUCUCUCUCUCUAACACUGCCACAAAAUUAAUGUGUCCCAUUCUAGUAACUAUAACCUCUUUCCAAUCAUGCUUCUAAUCUCACCUAAAAUUUUCAUCUGGAACAGUCAGUCAAGAGCAAGAGUGACAAGGGAAUUUUUAUAAAACAUAUAAAAACCCAUUAUGUCCCUCACUUGUGGCUUUUAUGGGUCAGUGUCAGGGGACUAGGUGGAGAGUAUCAACCCAAAGCAGGAUAGUAAGGGCCUGAAUACUAGACAUUGCUUCAUCUCUGGUUUCCCGUGGCAGGUUCUCUGUCUCAGGAAUCUCUUACUGAGAGGGCCAGGUACACUUACAGCAGCCAGCGCCUACUCCAAGAAAACUCGUACUGUCAUCUUCAAAAAGAUCUAAUAUUGGCCUGAUAGAAUUCAGGAGGAGUUGAGCUAUAAGAGGUUGCCAUUGCUGUUGCCAUUCCUCCUUAACAAACAUUGUGCACCUCUCUCCCUCAUCUCCCAAGCUAACAAGCCAAAGUUCUUAAGAUUUGCAAAAUUUCUGUCCAUAGCAGUCCCAAAUCCUCUCCUUUUGCAUUUAGAGGUGCAUAUCUCCGUAACUAUUUUCUGAAAAGGAUCAGAACCUUACUCUAACCCAGAAUGGAUCUUAGUUCUCGUUGUUACAAUGGGAUGGGAGUGACACUGACCAUCAGAUCGACCCUCCUGCCCCCACCUCAAUGAACCUAUUUUCCAGUACUCAGCCUGCAGCCAUCUCCCUAGUUCCUCCUUGGUAGCAGAGAAUGAAAGAGGGGAGGAUCACUUAUUGCUUGAUUGACUAGACAGUUUGAAUAAUAUGGCUGCUACUAAAUCCUACAGACUUCCCUCAAAUUAUCACUGAACUAUUGGAAGGCUCUUGUCUUUCUUAUUCCAGAAAGCCAUGUCUUGUCAGUAUUCCAUCUUUAUUACCAAAAAUGGUAAGAAUAGUAAGAGUCUGUAAUUUUACCUUGCUAGAAAACAAGUUAGCAUGGCACAAAUUCAUAGACACUGGCAGGAGAUAUGAGAUUCCUGGGCCAGGGAUAAAGAACAAUUUAUUAAUCAGAGCAAUAGCAGUAAUCAGAGUAACAACAUUUGUGCUAGUUCUUCAAGCCCUGAUUCCCACAGAGCACACUCAGUGAGUUGCAUUACCCAAGAGCAACCCUAUUUAGGAAACCCCAAUAUUUUCUAAAACCCUUGCUAGAAAACCUUUUCAACCUUUUUCCAGUGGAAGACAUUGUCUUUAUUAUCAUGAACAGCCAACAAACCUGCCUUCUUCCCCAAAGGGAGACACUAUAUUUUCCAAAGCUGUUUGCUAUACAGACAUUCUUGAAAAGACAGUCUAGAAAAAAGCUACGAAUACAAUUGCUCAGAAGAUAUGCAAAAACAGAAGAUCUAUGGAGAAUUAUCUCCCAACACCUCCAUAAAUAUAUUCACACAUAGACCCAAAUGUAAAACCUAAAUCUAUAAAGGUUCUAGAACAAAAUAUAGGAGUAACUUGAGUUACCUUAACAACCAACAAGGUCAGGGGUGGUCCAGAAAGCUUGACCCACAGGGACAGAGACAGGACUUUGGUGAGGCAAGCAGGGCAUCUCCUAUGAAAAAUCUAAGCACUCACUGUUAGGUGCUGAGCCUGCACUUGCAAAACCUGAGAGUGAGCACCUCCUUAAAUUUUUUAUUUUCCUAGUUGGGCUUGCCAUAAUCUCCACACUGCAUCCUUUUCCUUCACUGACACAAAAUCACAGAGAAUGGCAGCUUGUUUUGCUCAAAGCAGCAGUACAGCUUACUUACAUCACAACCUGGACCUGCUACAUUUUCUGUCCUAAGCCCCAUUCAAACCUGGCAGCAUUCCAUGUCACAUUUUAUCUGCUGGAUUAGCAUUUGGAGAUACAGAAUGUAUUGCUUCCACAACCCAAAGAGACCCAUGACAUUAUACUUCCUUCUUUGUAGUAGGACAUGGAUUCUUACUAGGAAUAAUAUCACCCCCAAGGGGGCAAAAAUUGGUAUUUAAUGGUUUAUGUGGUCCUGUAGUCUUCCAAAGGUCACACUACCUAAACAAAUAUACAGUACAUCUGUGCUAUCAAUAUUUCAUGAUGGAGAGGUAAUUAGGGGUAAAAUGUCUAAAAAACUUCCUUACCAGGGCAUUAACAACAAAAAGGUUGAGAAACACUGUAGCAGGAGAAGAUGCAACAACAACCAAAAAAGACAUUUUUUAAAGAGGAUGUCUCUACAUGCCUUUGAUCGUCAGAUCUCUGAAGUAUUUACUGAAGAGGUCUUCCUAUUCCCUGAGACACAACAAUAUUGAAAUAGGGCCAAUUAAUAACCCUACAAUGGUCUGUAAUUGUGCAAGUGGAAGAAAGAAUCGUGUGCCUCUCGCUUUAAAUCAAAAGCUAGAAAUGAUUAAGCUGACUGAGGAAGGCAUGUUUGAAGCUGAAACAGACUGAAAGCAAGUCCUCUUGCACCAAAAGGCCAAGUUGUUAAAGCAAAGGAAAAAUUAUUGAAGUAAAUUAAGUGCUACUCUAGUAAACACAAUUGAUAAGAAAGCAAAACAGCCUUAUUGCUGGUACAGAGAAAGUUUGAGUCGUUUGGGUAGAAGAUCAAACCAGCCACAACAUUCCCUUAAGCAAAAGCCUAAUCCAGAGGGCCCUAACUCUCUUCAAUUCUAUGAAGACUAAGAGAGGUGAGAAAGCUGCAGAAGAAAAGUUGGAAGCUAGUAGAGUUUGGUUCAUGAGGUUUAAGGAAAAAAGCCAUCGCUAUAACGUAACAGGUCAAGAAGGAAGUGUUGAUGUAGAAGCUACAGCAAGUUAUCUGAAAGAUCUAGCUGACUAGAACCCAGACAGGACUCUGACUCAGCCUCCACGCAGACAACAGCAAGGCCAUAGAGAUGGUGGAGCCAUACACCGAAGGAACCUGAGUCACUCUGUGACUGCCCAGAGAAAAGCUGUCCCAUUCACCUGAACUGGACACCUUGGACUAUUAUGUGGAAGGGAAAUAAACUUCUUUGCUCUUUAGGCUGCAUCACUGGAUCUCUUCCCAUGACUUACCCUUUGCCCCAGCUAAUGCAUCUGGGAUUUGGAAAAUGCUCAAUCUAUACUUACUGGAUUUUUUACAUUUUAAAAAAUAAAAAUAGGCUCAUGCCUGUAAUCCCAGUGCUUUGGGAGGCCUAGGCAGGCAGAUCACUUGAGGUCAGGACUUUGAGACCAGCCUGGCCAACAUGGUGAAACCUCGUCUUUACUAAAAAUACAAAACUUAGCCAGGUGUGGUGGCAGGUGCCUGUAAUCCCAGCUACUCAGGAGGCUAAGGCCAGAAAAUCGCUUAAACCCGGGAGGUGGAGGUUGCAGUGAGCUGAGAUCGCACCACAGCACUCCAGCCUAAGCGACAGAAUGAGACCCUGUAACAAAAUAAUAAAAUAAAAUAAAAUAAAAAUAAAACAAAAAGCAAAUAUAAAUAUUAAUUGGAUUCCUAAUAUAGAGAACGGCAUAUGUAGCAUAGCCAAAAAGAACCUAGUCACUAAAAGAGGUAAUGAGCAUGCCCAAAACAAGAGGCUAAUGACAAGAUUAGUGAGAAAUUAUCAGUGGUGAUUAAGUUGGGAAAGUAUUUAUGGCUACUAUUAUAAAGUAUAAAUUUUUUUUCCCAACUCUCAUGUACCUACCCCUUACAAUGAAUAAAUGUUA
Molecule: long non-coding RNA, 4557 nt
Filed under: Homo sapiens (human)
Lineage: Eukaryota; Metazoa; Chordata; Mammalia; Primates; Hominidae
Description: HSALNT0357236
Source: RNAcentral